CCACCGAGAAACAAGCAGUGCGCACCACAGCUGCCGUCUUCCUCCGCACGAAUGUGCACGAAACAAAGGCUAAUAAAACUCACAUGUCCGUGGGCACUAGUGUACUUUUUCUACAAACAAAAGUUAACAGUGAAGCAGCCUCAGGCAGGUCCUGCAGGAGGUGUCCAGAAGAAGGCCUUGUGAUCACAGGAGGUGACAGCUCUGUGCAUUCAUCACGCUGAAGACCUGCCACUGGAACAAGAUACUCAAACACCAUUGCGAUACAGUUGCCUGCAUUAUUCAGCACAGUAACCUGCUAUCCAGGAGCAAUAGAUUCUACCCCUAGCCUAGGUGUAUGUUGGGCUACACCGGCUAUGUACACGUCUCUCCGUGAUGUUCGCACAAUGAUGAAAUGGCCUAAGGAUGCAUUUCUCGGAACGUAUCCCCGUCGUUGAGCAACAGGACUGUGCACAAUACAUUACUGUUAACUAGAGUCCACACAUCAUACAAUAGAGCUCCAGAAUCCAUUCGCCGUACCUGACUGAAAUUUUGUGCUCUUUAACCAGCAUCUUCCAAUUCCUCAUCCCGCUGGCCCCCUGGUAAUUUCUUUUCCACUCUGCUUCUACGAGGGCGACUGUCUUGGAUUCCACAUGUGAGAUCACGAGGUAUUUGUCCUUGUUUCUGGCUCAUUUCACGUAACAGGACAUCCAUCCACAUUGUCGCAAAUGGCAGGAUUUUCCUUGUUGAAGCUGAAUCGUUUUCCACGGUGUGUACGAUCCACAUUUGCUCCGUUCACCCACUGAUGAACACUUAGGUUGGUCCUGUACUUGGCUGUUGUGAAGAGGGCUGUGGAGAACAAGGGGGCAGGUGUCUCUUCAAGACACUGAUUUUAUUUCCCUUGAAUGUUCACCCAGAAGUGGGAUUGCUGCAUCGCAUGGCUGGGUAUUUUUAGGUUUUUGAGGAAGCACCAGACUGUUUCCACAAUGGCUGCACCAAUUGACAUCCCCGCCGUGUGCAGGGUUCCCUCCCCACACCCUCACCAGCACUCACUUUUGUCUUUCUAAAGACAGCCAGCCUAACAGGUGAGAGGCAAUAUCUCAUUGCAGUUUUGACUUGCAUUUCUCUGAUAAUUAUUGAUGGUGAAUCUUUUAAAAUAUAUCUGUUGGCCAUUUAUAUGUCUACUUUUGAGAAACAUCUAUUCAGAUUUUUUGCUCAGUUUUUUCAGGCAAGUUAUUUUGUUUUUGCUAUUGAAUUGUAUGAAUUCUUCAUAUAUCUUAGAUAUUAACUCCUGAUCAGAUAAAUGGUUCAAAAAUACUUUCUCCCAUUCCAUAGGUUGUAUCAAUAGAUAGUGAUUAAAAAAAAAACGAUAAUGGUACUUAGGAGUUUAAUUUCCUUAUCACUGUGAACAUUCAGAAUACUGGGAGCCAAAAUCAUAUUCUCCAGAGAAGGAAAAAUGGCUAGAUCACAUCUAAAAGAACUGGAGUUAAAACAGCCCUGACCCUAAACCCAGGAAGGGCGGGAAUCAGGGUCAGCCUCCCCGGUGGCGGCACGUGCCGUGGGUGAUGCCAGAGUGUACCACCUCCCCCCGUCCCCAGGAUCUCCCUAAAACUCAUAACCCCGGGGUAACCCUGAAAAAACAUCAGACAAAUGCAAAUUCAAAACAUUCUACAAAAUACUCAGCCAGUACCCCUCAAAAGUGUCAAACUCAUGAAAAACCAAACACAAAAACAAAAG
Molecule: long non-coding RNA, 1713 nt
Organism: Homo sapiens (human)
Lineage: Eukaryota; Metazoa; Chordata; Mammalia; Primates; Hominidae
Source: Ensembl